RNAcentral lists this long non-coding RNA (211 nucleotides) under Elaeis guineensis (African oil palm). Its description in RNAcentral is "long non-coding RNA (EGUI_LNC034783)". Lineage: Eukaryota; Viridiplantae; Streptophyta; Magnoliopsida; Arecales; Arecaceae. The record is from RNAcentral.
UGGGUGUCACGCCGUGGCCGCCUCGCUCAUUCUCGAUGGGAGUGCUGAGACGGCUGCUCUUGAGGAGGAGACGAAAGUUGAUGCGGGCGUCAGCGGUUACUUCUGGACGGCAUAGGGUGCGCCAUCGGUUGUUCCGCCGACGGUUGCGGCAACUGAGUCGGUUGUUGUUGGAGUUUUUUGACCGCAUCCGUCAGAACGGUCAUUUGCCGCA